CAAUAAAACUAAAACUAAAGUUUACCCAAUUACCCAAUCCAAUAAAACUAAAACUAAAAGACAACCCAAUUUACUAAAGUCUAAAACCCAAUUUAUUUUAAUAAUUUAUAAAUUUUUUAAAUUUUAAAAAUAAAAAAUAAAAAAAAUUCGGGUAUUUUUCGGUAAUUCGGUUAAUUCGGUUAAUUCGGGUAAUUCGGGUAAUUCGGGUAAUUCGGGUAAUUUUUAACCAAAAAUAAAAAAUACAUAAUUUUCGGUUAAUUCGGUUAACCGACCUUAUUAACCGAAAAAAUUUCGGUUCGGUUAAAUUUUUUUAAAAAAAAAUCGGUUCGGUUAACGGUUAAAAUUUUUGGAAGGUCGGUUAAUUCGGUUAUAGUAAUUUCGGGUCGGUUAACCGGUCGGUUAACCGAAUGAACACCCCUAG
This 421-nucleotide long non-coding RNA is filed under the name Gossypium barbadense (sea-island cotton). RNAcentral describes it as "long non-coding RNA (GBAR_LNC007934)". The record is from RNAcentral. Lineage: Eukaryota; Viridiplantae; Streptophyta; Magnoliopsida; Malvales; Malvaceae.